This 701-nucleotide ribosomal RNA is filed under the name uncultured Glomerales. Its description in RNAcentral is "LSU rRNA". It matches the Rfam family "Eukaryotic large subunit ribosomal RNA", at positions 38 to 633 of the family's 3401-position model. Lineage: Eukaryota; Fungi; Glomeromycota; Glomeromycetes; Glomerales; Glomeraceae. The record is from RNAcentral.
GCAUAUCAAUAAGCGGAGGAAAAGAAACUAACAAGGAUUCCCUUAGUAACGGCGAGUGAAGAGGGAAGAGCUCAAAUUUUAAAUCUAUCAUGUUUGUACAUGAUCGAAUUGUAAUUUGAAGAAGCGUUUUCUCGUACUUUAUGCAAUCAGUAUAAGUUCUCUUGGAACAGGACAUCAUAGAGGGUGAUAAUCCCGUCUGUUACUGGUUGUGAGGUUCGUUAUGAUACGCUUUCAAAGAGUCGAGUUGUUUGGGAUUGCAGCUCCAAAUGGGUGGUAAACAUCACCUAAGGCUAAAUAUUUGCGAGAGACCGAUAGCGGACAAGUACCGUGAGGGAAAGAUGAAAAGAACUUUGAAAAGAGAGUUAAAAAGUAUGUGAAAUUGUUGAAAGGGAAACGAUUGAAGUCAGUCGUGCAGUCAUCAAUUCAGCGGUUAACAUUUUAUGUUUCCGUGUAAUUUGGUGUCUGUUGGUUAGCAUCAAUUUUGAUUGUUAUAAAAAGGUUAAGGGGAUGUGGCUCCUUCGGGAGUGUUAUAACCCUUAGCGUAAUGUAACGAUUAGGAUUGAGGUUUGCAACGAAUACCUUUUAGGGCAGUUUCACCUGGCCUCUCGUGGAAUUAUAGAUAGUUAAGAGCAUGCUCUUACUGUCUAUGAUUCUACGAAAAGGUUGGAGUGUAAAACUAAUUCGUUAAGGAUGUUGACGUA